CAGUAGCCGCGGGAAUACGAAGGGUGCAAGCGUUGAUCGGAAUUACUUGGCGUAAAGCGUGCGUAGGCGGUGAGUUAAGUCUGCUGUGAAAUCCCCGGGCUCAACCUGGGAAUGGCAGUGGAUACUGGCUCGCUAGAGUGUGUCAGAGGAUGGUGGAAUUCCCGGUGUAGCGGUGAAAUGCGUAGAGAUCGGGAGGAACAUCAGUGGCGAAGGCGGCCAUCUGGGACAACACUGACGCUGAGGCACGAAAGCGUGGGGAGCAAACAGGAUUAGAUACCCGCGUAGUCCCUGUCUCUUAUAC
RNAcentral lists this ribosomal RNA (301 nucleotides) under uncultured bacterium. Its description in RNAcentral is "partial 16S ribosomal RNA". It matches the Rfam family "Bacterial small subunit ribosomal RNA", at positions 509 to 807 of the family's 1533-position model. The record is from RNAcentral.